UGNGGCUGCUUUUAUCCCAACUCCUGGU
Molecule: non-coding RNA, 28 nt
Filed under: Mus musculus (house mouse)
Lineage: Eukaryota; Metazoa; Chordata; Mammalia; Rodentia; Muridae
Source: RNAcentral